RNAcentral lists this long non-coding RNA (791 nucleotides) under Oncorhynchus kisutch (coho salmon). Its description in RNAcentral is "lncRNA (ENSOKIG00005029269.1)". Lineage: Eukaryota; Metazoa; Chordata; Actinopteri; Salmoniformes; Salmonidae. The record is from RNAcentral.
AUGCUUUUCCUAUUAUUUUGUGUUGGAUGUGUUGCUUUGUCUGCAGGGCAAUCCUUUGCUUCAACAACUACAAUGGGACCAAGGGCUACCACGAAACAGGUGACAACACCUCCAACUCUUACUACCCCUUAUGUGGACCCACCUUUUGGUACUAAACCCCUGGAAAGUGGAUUUGCAAUUCUUCAGGUCGCUGUCCAAUCUUAUCAGGAGCUAAAUGAGACAACAGCUGAUCCAGUCUUGAGUAAGAUCUACGACAUCGUUCGGGCGAAGCGACCUGAUCUGAAAUUUCGACUGACCGUGAAAACUGUCCAGAAAGUUUGAUGGAUUAUGAUCCAAGGCAUAGCAGAUUGAAGUUCUAGUGGUACAUCAUGUUCUGCAGAUUAAGAUUUUCAAUGAUUUUAUGCUGUUUAUCAGUCAUUAUAUUCAUGUUAAUAAUAUAUUUGAAUGUAUAAUUUCAUUGACUUACUGACUUGCUGCACGUUCCAAUCACCAUCUGGGGGAGGAGCUGUAAUUCAAGAGUUAUGUCACAACUUUUCCCACUUUCAUAGAAUCUUGUCAUCUGCUUCCAGUGUUUUCUGAUGGAUUUGAUGUUGGACUGAAUAGUCCUAACUACUGUAAUAUUUUCUUUGGCUAUAAACAUGUUACAAAUACUGCAACUGUCUGUUCUCACAGUCAUGUUAAUUCAAUGGAUCUGACUUCAGUCUUUUUUAAAAUAUCAAACAUAAGGUGACUUCCCUGAAAAGAACAGUCCAACCCAACCCCCCAAAAAUGUAUAUAUAAUUUUUUUUCAU